Molecule: ribosomal RNA, 468 nt
Filed under: uncultured bacterium
Lineage: Bacteria
Description: partial 16S ribosomal RNA
Rfam family: Bacterial small subunit ribosomal RNA
Source: RNAcentral
GACGAACGCUGGCGGCGUGCUUAACACAUGCAAGUCGAACGGAAAGGCCCUGCUUUUGUGGGGUGCUCGAGUGGCGAACGGGUGAGUAACACGUGAGUAACCUGCCCUUGACUUUGGGAUAACUUCAGGAAACUGGGGCUAAUACCUGAUAGGAGCUCCUGCUGCAUGGUGGGGGUUGGAAAGUUUCGGCGGUUGGGGAUGGACUCGCGGCUUAUCAGCUUGUUGGUGGGGUAGUGGCUUACCAAGGCUUUGACGGGUAGCCGGCCUGAGAGGGUGACCGGCCACAUUGGGACUGAGAUACGGCGCAGACUGCUACGGGAGGCAGCAGUGGGGAAUAUUGCACAAUGGGCGGAAGCCUGAUGCAGCAACGCCGCGUGCGGGAUGACGGCCUUCGGGUUGUAAACCGCUUUCGCCUGUGACGAAGCGUGAGUGACGGUAAUGGGUAAAGAAGCACCGGCUAACUACGUG